GCAAAGAUUUUAGAGACUGAUAUGAACUCUCUUUUUGAUAUUGAAGCGUAACUAUUGGAAAUCGUGUGACGGGGGUGACUCGUCCGGAGGUUCGAAUCCUCUUCUCUGCGCCA
This 113-nucleotide transfer RNA is filed under the name Bacillota bacterium. RNAcentral describes it as "Firmicutes bacterium (gut metagenome) tRNA-OTHER". Lineage: Bacteria; Bacillati; Bacillota. The record is from RNAcentral.